UGUACAUACUUAUACUGGUACUCGCUGGAGUGAGUGAUGUCUGUAUCUUGGAGACUAUGUAUGUAUAGUGAAUCUGAUGUUUAUUUAUAUAUAUUUACAGUUUUGUUAGCAGCUCUAUAUUACUAGUUAUAGUUUUGUAUGAUUACAGGUAUAGGUACAGCUAUCGCUUCGUAUACAGAGAAAAUUUUUUUGUAUACGGCAGGUCUGUUGGUGUGCCCGGAGAAACGUGGUAAUUCGGGGCGUGACAGAUUAAGUUGGUAUCAGAGCUUAGUAUUAGAUUGUUGGGACCUAGAAAACUUUAAGCUUGGCAAAGCUUAGGAAGACAAGACGCGAGAGGCGUGAUUUAUCGCGAAAGUCAGCAUUUGAAUUGUUUUUAACUCAUCCUAGAGUAGAGUGAGUGACUGAAGGAGUGUCUGUUUCAGCCAAGAAAAUUAUGUCGGCUGCAGAUAGCAUAAUUUUGAGGAGAAACAAGGGUGGCUUUCUAG
This 485-nucleotide long non-coding RNA is filed under the name Ananas comosus (pineapple). RNAcentral's name for it is "long non-coding RNA (ACOM_LNC010427)". The record is from RNAcentral. Lineage: Eukaryota; Viridiplantae; Streptophyta; Magnoliopsida; Poales; Bromeliaceae.